GCCACUCUGGUUGCCUAGUGGUUAGAGCGUCUGCCUCGGAUGCUGGAGGUCGUGGUUCGAAUUCCGGCCGAGUCACA
Non-coding RNA from Potamilus streckersoni, 77 nucleotides. The record is from the annotation of a GenBank genome assembly. Lineage: Eukaryota; Metazoa; Mollusca; Bivalvia; Unionida; Unionidae.